This 251-nucleotide ribosomal RNA is filed under the name uncultured bacterium. RNAcentral's name for it is "partial 16S ribosomal RNA". It matches the Rfam family "Bacterial small subunit ribosomal RNA", at positions 524 to 776 of the family's 1533-position model. The record is from RNAcentral.
UACGGAGGGUGCGAGCGUUGUCCGGAAUCACUGGGCGUAAAGGCGCGUAGGCGGCCUGAUAAGUAGGGGGUGAAAUCCUGCGGCUUAACCGCAGGGCUGCCCUCUAAACUGUCAGCUCGAGCACAGUAGAGGCAGGUGGAAUUCCCGGUGUAGCGGUGGAAUGCGUAGAGAUCGGGAAGAACAUCAGUGGCGAAGGCGGCCUGCUGGGCUGUUGCUGACGCUGAGGCGCGACAGCGUGGGGAGCGAACAGG